Molecule: ribosomal RNA, 262 nt
Filed under: uncultured archaeon
Lineage: Archaea
Description: partial 16S ribosomal RNA
Rfam family: Archaeal small subunit ribosomal RNA
Source: RNAcentral
ACGUCUACAUUAGAUACCCCGGUAGUCCCAGCCGUAAACUAUGCGCGUUAGGUGUAUCGGUGACCACGAGUUACCGAGGUGCCGAAGGGAAACCGUGAAACGUGCCGCCUGGGAAGUACGGUCGCAAGGCUGAAACUUAAAGGAAUUGGCGGGGAGCACCACAACGGGUGGAGCCUGCGGUUUAAUUGGACUCAACGCCGGAAAUCUCACCGGAUAGGACAGACAUAUGAUAGUCGGGCUGAAGACUCUACUUGAUGAUCUG